CCUACGGGUGGCAGCAGUCGAGAAUCAUUCACAAUGGGGGAAACCCUGAUGGUGCGACGCCGCGUGGGGGAAUGAAGGUCUUCGGAUUGUAAACCCCUGUCAUGUGGGAGCAAAUUAAAAAGAUAGUACCACAAGAGGAAGAGACGGCUAACUCUGUGCCAGCAGCCGCGGUAAUACAGAGGUCUCAAGCGUUGUUCGGAAUCACUGGGAGUAAAGCGUGCGUAGGCUGUUUCGUAAGUCGUGUGUGAAAGGCGCGGGCUCAACCCGCGGACGGCACAUGAUACUGCGAAACUAGAGUAAGGGAGGGGGAACCGGAAUUCUCGGUGUAGCAGUGAAAUGCGUAGAUAUCGAGAGGAACACUCGUGGCGAAGGCGGUUUCCUGGACAUUAACUGACGCUGAGGCACGAAGGCCAGGGGAGCGAAAGGGAUUAGAUACCCUUGUAGUC
RNAcentral lists this ribosomal RNA (446 nucleotides) under uncultured bacterium. RNAcentral describes it as "partial 16S ribosomal RNA". It matches the Rfam family "Bacterial small subunit ribosomal RNA", at positions 338 to 795 of the family's 1533-position model. The record is from RNAcentral.